This 510-nucleotide ribosomal RNA is filed under the name uncultured bacterium. RNAcentral's name for it is "bacterial SSU rRNA". It matches the Rfam family "Bacterial small subunit ribosomal RNA", at positions 392 to 916 of the family's 1533-position model. The record is from RNAcentral.
CAACGCCGCGUGGAGGACGACGGCCUUCGGGUUGUAAACUCCUUUCGGGGGGGAUGAAACGGACAGUACCCCCAGAAGCAGCCCCGGCUAACUCUGUGCCAGCAGCCGCGGUAAUACAGAGGGGGCAAGCGUUGUCCGGAAUUACUGGGCGUACAGCGCGCGCAGGCGGCUCGCGCCGUGCCGUGUGACAAGCCACCGCUCAACGGUGGAGGGCCAUGGUACACGAGCGAGCUGGAGGCAGGGAGAGGGAUGUGGAAUGCCCGGUGGAGCGGUGAAAUGCGUAGAGAUCGGGCGGAACACCAGCGGCGAAGGCGGCAUCCUGGCCCUGUACUGACGCUGAGGCGCGAGAGCGUGGGGAGCGAACUGGAUUAGAUACCCAGGUAGUCCACGCCGUAAACGAUGUGUACCCGGCGCUGGGACGUGAUUGCGCGUCUCGGUGCCUGCGCUUACGCAAUGAGUACACCGCCUGGGGACUACGGCCGCAAGGCUAAAACUCAAAGGAAUUGACGG